RNAcentral lists this ribosomal RNA (850 nucleotides) under uncultured bacterium. RNAcentral's name for it is "bacterial SSU rRNA". It matches the Rfam family "Bacterial small subunit ribosomal RNA", at positions 50 to 915 of the family's 1533-position model. The record is from RNAcentral.
UCUACCUGCAGUCGACGCUGACCACUUUCGGGUGGGGAUGAGUGGCGAACGGGUGAGUAACACGUGGGUAAUCUGCCCUGCACUCUGGGAUAAGCCUUGGAAACGAGGUCUAAUACCGGAUAUCACCACCGUGGGCAUCCAUGGUGGUUGAAAGUUCUGGCGGUGCAGGAUGAACCCGCGGCCUAUCAGCUUGUUGGUGGGGUAAUGGCCUACCAAGGCGACGACGGGUAGCCGGCCUGAGAGGGUGACCGGCCACACUGGGACUGAGACACGGCCCAGGCUCCUACGGGAGGCAGCAGUGGGGAAUAUUGCACAAUGGGCGCAAGCCUGAUGCAGCGACGCCGCGUGAGGGAUGACGGCCUUCGGGUUGUAAACCUCUUUCGCCAGGGACGAAGCGCAAGUGACGGUACCUGGAUAAGAAGCACCGGCUAACUACGUGCCAGCAGCCGCGGUAAUACGUAGGGUGCGAGCGUUGUCCGGAUUUAUUGGGCGUAAAGAGCUCGUAGGCAGUUUGUCGCGUCGGCCGUGAAAUCUCCACGCUUAACGUGGAGCGUGCGGUCGAUACGGGCAGACUUGAGUUCGGUAGGGGAGACUGGAAUUCCUGGUGUAGCGGUGAAAUGCGCAGAUAUCAGGAGGAACACCGGUGGCGAAGGCGGGUCUCUGGGCCGAUACUGACGCUGAGGAGCGAAAGCGUGGGGAGCGAACAGGAUUAGAUACCCUGGUAGUCCACGCUGUAAACGUUGGGCGCUAGGUGUGGGCGACAUCCACGUUGUCCGUGCCGUAGCUAACGCAUUUAAGCGCCCCGCCUGGGGAGUACGGCCGCAAGGCUAAAACUCAAAGGAAUUUGACG